UAAUUUUCUGUCAAAAAAUUGUAGAAACUUUUUCAAUUAUGUCUAAUUUUAAGGUCCACUAUGUAAAAGUUGAGUAGAGGGCAAAAAGUCCCAUAUUCUCGUAAUAGUUAAACAGACUGAUAGUGAACGAACAUGAGUAAGCUGAGGCCAAUACUGACAUCUGCAAAACAUAAUUGAUUACGUGAUAUGCUCUAUUUAUAUCAUUAGACAUUCGUAAACUCGUCUUACAAAAAUUUCGCAUAUACAAGGACCAGUUUUACUAUGAAUGUAUUGAAGUAUUUUUAGAAACGUACGGAACAAUUGUGACCUUACUUAGUACUCAAAAAGUUACUAUCGUAAUGAAAAUAUAGUAUCUAAAACUAAUGGUUUUAUGUAAUCACAUAAAAUAAAUCCUCAAAAAUUAUCAACCUUGAAAGCUACGAUUUUACUCUGCGAUUGUGAACAUCUCUGAGAACCACAAUUCAAGACAUAGUUUUGUAUUUUAUCGUUCUGGCUUAUAAUUAACUAAAUAACACUAUGACUAAAAUCGAAGUAAGCGAAAGUUGACAUGAUUUUGAAUAAAAGGCAUUAUUAUAAUGAUGCCAAUAAUAAUGGUCCAUAUGAGUUUAAAUUUAGAACAAAGGCAAAAAAAUACAUUCGAAAUUGUUACCACUUCUACAAAGGGAUAAUGACUAUGCUGAUCUAUCAAAUUUUAUUAUCUAUAUACAUUUUUCUUAACAUCAUGUGAAUAUCUCUUGUAGAAAAAUGGCAAUAAUUUUUUCGUGUACAGUAAUAAAAAAUAUACAUGAUGCGCAUCAUUUGAAAGUAGUAACUAUCAAUGGGAAAUUCUUAAUGAAUAAUAGCUAUACCUGUCAACUCGAAAACAAUAAUCGGUGUUUUUAAUCGGUGAAAAGUGUAGUGCUUAGUUCCACUAUAGUUUCGUGAACCUCACAGGGUGACAUCAUUAGCAUACAUUAUCGACUAAAGGUCAGCUUAUCAAAAGAAAUAACAGACAAUUAUAUCAAUGCUAGGAUCGUUCCGAUAGUGUUCAGACGUUUAUUGAGUGAAAAUGAUCAUGAUUUUUGUAUUGGGCCGAGUAAAUAUUUACAAAUAGGAUCAGCCAAUAAUCAAAAAAAUGUAUUCUUUUGGAUGUUGUAGUAACAAACUUGCAAGGGAAUCAAAUUAAAUAUGGCACCACUGAUAAGAUCAUCAUUAUCAUCUAAAAGGAAAGAACCAUUUUUUAAAUCGGUUUGGCCUAUAAGAAAAAAAUCGAUGAACAAAAUGUCCCAAUAAAAAGGUCCAUAUGUCUACUCGUUAAGUGUGAUAUUACAUUACCUCAGACAAACAUCGCAGAUUUGUUUCUUCUGUGUAUAAUUGUAGUGUUCUCUAAUUCUAUUUUACAAUAUCAGGGUACUAUUAAUAUAUAAUAAUAGUUUUGUGCAUAUGCAAUAAGUGCAUACCGGAGAGGAGAUAAGACUGAACUCGAUGUAAUAAGAUAUGAAUGUAUAACUUGCUAAAAAUGCAGAAUAAACUGUCAUGGUAUUUA
Long non-coding RNA from Pieris napi, 1525 nucleotides. RefSeq lists it as uncharacterized. The record is from RefSeq and is a predicted model, not a curated record. The transcript has 2 exons. NCBI's taxonomy places the organism in Eukaryota, Metazoa, Arthropoda, Insecta, Lepidoptera, Pieridae.